UCUUUCCAAAAUUAGUUUGGCUGCCCAGGAUUAGAUCACCCAAAUCGUUCCUUCCUCUUUCACAGACUUCAUUCACAAAUCGCUCUCUUCCCCUUCUUCUUUAUACAAAUCACUCUCUUUCCCUCCAUAGACUUCCUUUGAUCAUUCCAACAUCUCCAUAGGCGUCGUUCGAGCAUCUUCUUAUGCAUUAAUUACAUCAUUUCUCCAUAGUCAUUCCUUAUAGUAUCUCCUUGUCCUUAGACAUUUGAGCAACAAUCCAUCUCCAACUUCUCCUCCAUUGUUACUCACUUGGCAAAUUUCUUACUCCUUCAUAAAUCUCCCUUGUUUUGAAUGAUUUUAGUCAGUCGACACUUAAACGCUUUUGCUUUUUUAGCUAGGGCUUUGUUUUUGCCAACAUUGCCUUCUAGGAUUUUUUUAUCUCUUCUUUUCUCCAUGCUUUUCCAUUUGAAAGUAAUCAUGCAUUUGGAUUCCAUAAAUCAAUAAUUAGUGAAUUCGUCAGAAAAAAGGUCGAGAGAUUGCACCAAAGACAUCAAGAGAGGAAGAGAGGUAAUUUGAAUUGUUGGAAUGGAUUUGGAGGAAGAAUUUCUGCAAAUCAAUUUACACAAAGAUUCUCACUUCUCUAUGAAUCUGAAUCGGAAAGGGUUUUUCUUUUUCCAAAAAAUUCUUAAAGGCCUGAAAAUAAGGUAAUUUGAUAAAGUCUUUGUCUUGCAAAUGAUGGAGCUUUAUAUUUCGAGGAAAAAUUUGUUGAUGCAUACGAACAUCAUGGGCCUCUUGCAACCACAUCUUCAGUCGUUCGAGGGUUGAUAGCAUUUACUGGCGUUACUUCUGGAAGCUUAAAUGUGAGUGAAGACAUAAAUUAGCAUUUUAGUUCCUUAAUUUAUCAUAUAUCAAUUUGGUUUUCAUCUAAAGCUUCCUAGGGAUACAAUUUUUGGUCUGGCAAAAUUCUUCCUUGGCAUUGGAAUUCCUGAUGAUGCGAAAGACUUAUUCAACCAAAUAGAUUCCUUGGCUUGCUUAGAAGCAAAUAGGGUUUCUAUUUCGUUGAUUUUAUCUCUUCCAACAACUGUUCUUUUGUUGACAAAGGAAGACCAAGUGAAGGUGAAGGAAAUCUAAAUAUAGAUAUCCAGUGAGCGGAAGCGGAUCAUUCCAAAUCCCGUUGAGAAAGAACACAAAUAGUUACAGUCUAAAUGGAAACGAUUAUGCAUAAAUAGAAAAUUGCUUCUUUAAAAGACUGAACAUGGGAUAGAGUAUGCAAACCUUUGAAGAACUCUUCAAGUAUCCCUCGAUCAUUCAGCAACUCGUUCAACAGCACGAACUCGAAUGCAAUGAUCAGAACUCGAUCUCAACGAACGUCUGAAUGAACCUCGAUCCCAAUCGAGUCCAACUCGAUCCUUGAACAGAAUUAGAAUAUCACCACAAUGGUUGCCUUGGUAUUCUCGAUGUGAGAAUCCAGAAGUUGUGGGCUAUGUAUGAUUUUGGAUUGAGGAAAGCAGGAGAUAGAUGAUCGAGUAAGUGGGAGAUGAAGUCUAUAGUAUAAACUAGAUACUUUAUCGUUUAGAAAGACGAAGCCUAUCAUAUAGACUUUAAUACUCGAUUGUGUAGCAACGAGUGAACGAGUAACUAUCGUAUAGUUAACUCGUAGCUCGAUCAUGUAUGCUCUCUAUGUUAUCGAUUAGUAAAACACUUUUACUUGAUAGCCUUU
Non-coding RNA from Benincasa hispida (wax gourd), 1699 nucleotides. The record is from RefSeq and is a predicted model, not a curated record. Lineage: Eukaryota; Viridiplantae; Streptophyta; Magnoliopsida; Cucurbitales; Cucurbitaceae.